This 749-nucleotide ribosomal RNA is filed under the name Vibrio parahaemolyticus. RNAcentral's name for it is "partial 23S ribosomal RNA". It matches the Rfam family "Bacterial large subunit ribosomal RNA", at positions 586 to 1338 of the family's 2925-position model. Lineage: Bacteria; Pseudomonadati; Pseudomonadota; Gammaproteobacteria; Vibrionales; Vibrionaceae. The record is from RNAcentral.
UUGUCCUGUGACUGCGUACCUUUUGUAUAAUGGGUCAGCGACUUAUAUUCAGUGGCAAGGUUAACCAUCUAGGGGAGCCGUAGGGAAACCGAGUCUUAACUGGGCGUUCAGUCUCUGGAUAUAGACCCGAAACCAGGUGAUCUAGCCAUGGGCAGGUUGAAGGUUGAGUAACAUCAACUGGAGGACCGAACCGACUAAUGUUGAAAAAUUAGCGGAUGACUUGUGGCUAGGGGUGAAAGGCCAAUCAAACCUGGAGAUAGCUGGUUCUCCCCGAAAGCUAUUUAGGUAGCGCCUCGGACGAAUACUACUGGGGGUAGAGCACUGUUAAGGCUAGGGGGUCAUCCCGACUUACCAACCCUUUGCAAACUCCGAAUACCAGUAAGUACUAUCCGGGAGACACACGGCGGGUGCUAACGUCCGUCGUGGAGAGGGAAACAACCCAGACCGCCAGCUAAGGUCCCAAAUUACUACUAAGUGGGAAACGAUGUGGGAAGGCUCAGACAGCCAGGAUGUUGGCUUAGAAGCAGCCAUCAUUUAAAGAAAGCGUAAUAGCUCACUGGUCGAGUCGGCCUGCGCGGAAGAUGUAACGGGGCUAAGUAGUAAACCGAAGCUGCGGCAAUGUGCUUUUGCACAUUGGGUAGGGGAGCGUUCUGUAAGCGGUUGAAGGUGUGUGGUAACGCAUGCUGGACGUAUCAGAAGUGCGAAUGCUGACAUGAGUAACGAUAAAGGGGGUGAAAAACCUCCUCGCC